CCUACGGGAGGCAGCAGUGGGGGAUAUUGCACAAUGGGGGAAACCCUGAUGCAGCGACGCCGCGUGGGCGAAGAAGUAUUUCGGUAUGUAAAGCCCUAUCAGCAGGGAAGAAGAAAUGACGGUACCUGAGUAAGAAGCACCGGCUAAAUACGUGCCAGCAGCCGCGGUAAUACGUAUGGUGCAAGCGUUAUCCGGAUUUACUGGGUGGAAAGGGAGCGCAGGCGGCACGGCAAGCCUGAUGUGAAAGCCCGCGGCCCAACCGCGGGACUGCAUUGGGAACUACCGGGCUGGAGUGCCGGAGAUGGAGGCGGAAUUCCUAGUGGAGCGGUGAAAUGCGUAGAUAUUAGGAGGAACACCAGUGGCGAAGGCGGCCUACUGGACGGUGACUGACGCUGAGGCUCGAAAGCGUGGGGAGCAAACAGGAUUAGAUACCCUUGUAGUC
RNAcentral lists this ribosomal RNA (442 nucleotides) under uncultured bacterium. RNAcentral's name for it is "partial 16S ribosomal RNA". It matches the Rfam family "Bacterial small subunit ribosomal RNA", at positions 338 to 795 of the family's 1533-position model. The record is from RNAcentral.